UACAGAGGUGGCAAGCGUUGUUCGGAAUUACUGGGCGUAAAGGGCGCGUAGGCGGUUCGUUAAGUCCCGUGUGAAAGCCCCCGGCUCAACCGGGGAACGGCGCGGGAAACUAGCAGGCUUGAGUUCGGGAGAGGGAAGCGGAAUUCCGGGUGUAGCGGUGAAAUGCGCAGAUAUCCGGAGGAACACCGGUGGCGAAGGCGGCUUCCUGGACCGACACUGACGCUGAGGCGCGAAAGCUAGGGGAGCAAACGGG
Molecule: ribosomal RNA, 253 nt
Filed under: uncultured bacterium
Lineage: Bacteria
Description: partial 16S ribosomal RNA
Rfam family: Bacterial small subunit ribosomal RNA
Source: RNAcentral